GAUUCCCUUCGGGUAUCAUCCGAUAAAAUUGGAACGAGACAGAGAAGAUUACCAUGGCCCCUGCGCAAGGAUGACACGAUAUGACACGCACAGUCACAAAUCGAG
RNAcentral lists this small nuclear RNA (105 nucleotides) under Symbiodinium microadriaticum. Lineage: Eukaryota; Dinophyceae; Suessiales; Symbiodiniaceae. The record is from RNAcentral.